UUUCCAGGCUGAUUCCUCCACCUCAUUGUUGUGAAUUGACUUGUGUCCUCCCAAAAGCUAUGUUGAAGUUCUAACCCCGGUACCUGUGAAUGUGGCCAUGUUUGGAAAUAGGCUCUUUGCAGUUGUUAGUUAUCAAGAGAGCCGAAGAAGAGAGGGUCAUGAAGAAAAGGAAAAGUCUGAAGAUUUAAAAAAGAUGAGCAAAUUCCAAGAACUUGGAUGGAAGCCUGGCCUACAUCCUUAUUAGAUAACUAUCCAUCGAUCUGGGACUGUUCUGUGCGUGUGUCCUACCCACCUGGCAUGUUGGGAGAGCUAAAUCAAUGCCACAAUGACAUGCUGUCUUUCUCCACUUGAGAUUGAAGCAGUCAGCCUCUCUCACUGACAAUACAUAUGAUGAGGGAGUGGAGGCCUAUGGAGAUUAUGUCCUAGAAGGCGAAGAACACGGGUCUGCAGCCUCCUACCCAGCCAGGGACCAGUCAGAAAUCCAAGAAAAGACAAACUGCAGCUAGAGCUCCCAGCAAUGUCAUGAGGGUGGAGCCAAGCAAUCCCUUGGUCCAGAGAUGUUGGAAAAUCCUGCAUCCUUCAGAUGUAUGAAGAAGAGUGGGAGUGGACGGGGCAGAAACCACUAGCUGCCAAAUCUGAGGAAAAUAUCUCCAAAUUGGGGAGAUGGCCACUGAUUCCCACAGGUCUUCUCAUCAUGGUCUUGCAGUGGGAGAUGGGAAAAAUCAGGAAAGAAGAUUGGAAUUUGGAGAAAAUUGUGAAAAUAUGUUGGAGAGAGGGAUAGUUCUUGUGAACAAUAUGAGUCUUGGUCCAAAAUGUUUCUUUACAGCUGGGUACAGUGGCUCAUGCAUGUAAUCCUA
This is a long non-coding RNA of Sapajus apella (tufted capuchin), 857 nucleotides long. RefSeq lists it as uncharacterized. NCBI's taxonomy places the organism in Eukaryota, Metazoa, Chordata, Mammalia, Primates, Cebidae. The transcript is spliced from 5 exons. The record is from RefSeq and is a predicted model, not a curated record.